This 327-nucleotide small nuclear RNA is filed under the name Pteropus alecto (black flying fox). RNAcentral describes it as "7SK RNA". It matches the Rfam family "7SK RNA". Rfam says of the family: 7SK was discovered as an abundant small nuclear RNA in the mid-70s but a possible function has only recently been suggested. Two independent studies have found that 7SK RNA binds the CDK9/cyclin T complex (known as elongation factor P-TEFb). P-TEFb activates transcription by phosphorylating the C-terminal domain of RNA polymerase II. The record is from Rfam by way of RNAcentral. Lineage: Eukaryota; Metazoa; Chordata; Mammalia; Chiroptera; Pteropodidae.
GGAUGUGAGGGUGAUCUGGCUGUGACAUGUCACCCCAUUGAUCACCAGGGUUGGUUUGACUGAUCUGGCUGGCUAGGCAGAUGUCCCCUUCCUCUCUCACCGCUCCAUGUGCAUCCCUCCUGAGGCUGUGUGCUCAGUCAAAGAGGGCGACCUUCCCUGAUAGAGGAGAGGACCGUUCUUCGAUCAAGUGUAUACGAGUAGCUGCACUCCCCUGCUAGAAUCUCCAAAGUCCCAAGGUCCAUUUGUAGGUGAACAUAGGGUAGUCAAGCUUCCAAGACUCCAGAUAAAUCCAAAUGAGGCACUGCAUGUGGCAGUCUGCCUUUCUUU